This 2923-nucleotide ribosomal RNA is filed under the name Klebsiella pneumoniae. Its description in RNAcentral is "23S ribosomal RNA". It matches the Rfam family "Bacterial large subunit ribosomal RNA". The record is from RNAcentral. Lineage: Bacteria; Pseudomonadati; Pseudomonadota; Gammaproteobacteria; Enterobacterales; Enterobacteriaceae.
GGGUUGUGAGGUUAAGCGACUAAGCGUACACGGUGGAUGCCCUGGCAGUCAGAGGCGAUGAAGGACGUGCUAAUCUGCGAAAAGCGUCGGUAAGGUGAUAUGAACCGUUAUAGCCGGCGAUGUCCGAAUGGGGAAACCCAGUGCAAUUCGUUGCACUAUCGUUAACUGAAUACAUAGGUUAACGAGGCGAACCGGGGGAACUGAAACAUCUAAGUACCCCGAGGAAAAGAAAUCAACCGAGAUUCCCCCAGUAGCGGCGAGCGAACGGGGAGCAGCCCAGAGUCUGAAUCAGCUUGUGUGUUAGUGGAACGGUCUGGAAAGUCCGACGGUACAGGGUGAUAGUCCCGUACACCAAAAUGCACAGGCUGUGAACUCGAAGAGUAGGGCGGGACACGUGGUAUCCUGUCUGAAUAUGGGGGGACCAUCCUCCAAGGCUAAAUACUCCUGACUGACCGAUAGUGAACCAGUACCGUGAGGGAAAGGCGAAAAGAACCCCGGCGAGGGGAGUGAAAAAGAACCUGAAACCGUGUACGUACAAGCAGUGGGAGCACCUUCGGGUGUGACUGCGUACCUUUUUGUAUAAUGGGUCAGCGACUUAUAUUCUGUAGCAAGGUUAACCGUAUAGGGGAGCCGCAGGGAAACCGAGUCUUAACUGGGCGUUAAGUUGCAGGGUAUAGACCCGAAACCCGGUGAUCAGCCAUGGGCAGGUUGAAGGUUGGGUAACACUAACUGGAGGACCGAACCGACUAAUGUUGAAAAAUUAGCGGAUGACUUGUGGCUGGGGGUGAAAGGCCAAUCAAACCGGGAGAUAGCUGGUUCUCCCCGAAAGCUAUUUAGGUAGCGCCUCGUGAACUCAUCUUCGGGGGUAGAGCACUGUUUCGGCUAGGGGGUCAUCCCGACUUACCAACUCGAUGCAAACUACGAAUACCGAAGAAUGUUAUCACGGGAGACACACGGCGGGUGCUAACGUCCGUCGUGAAGAGGGAAACAACCCAGACCGCCAGCUAAGGUCCCAAAGUCAUGGUUAAGUGGGAAACGAUGUGGGAAGGCACAGACAGCCAGGAUGUUGGCUUAGAAGCAGCCAUCAUUUAAAGAAAGCGUAAUAGCUCACUGGUCGAGUCGGCCUGCGCGGAAGAUGUAACGGGGCUAAACCAUGCACCGAAGCUGCGGCAGCGACACUAUGUGUUGUUGGGUAGGGGAGCGUUCUGUAAGCCUGCGAAGGUGUGCUGUGAGGCAUGCUGGAGGUAUCAGAAGUGCGAAUGCUGACAUAAGUAACGAUAAAGCGGGUGAAAAGCCCGCUCGCCGGAAGACCAAGGGUUCCUGUCCAACGUUAAUCGGGGCAGGGUGAGUCGACCCCUAAGGCGAGGCCGAAAGGCGUAGUCGAUGGGAAACAGGUUAAUAUUCCUGUACUUGGUGUUACUGCGAAGGGGGGACGGAGAAGGCUAUGUUAGCCGGGCGACGGUUGUCCCGGUUUAAGCAUGUAGGCUGGUUGUCCAGGCAAAUCCGGAUAAUCAAGGCUGAGGUGUGAUGACGAGGCACUACGGUGCUGAAGUAACAAAUGCCCUGCUUCCAGGAAAAGCCUCUAAGCAUCAGGUAACAUCAAAUCGUACCCCAAACCGACACAGGUGGUCAGGUAGAGAAUACCAAGGCGCUUGAGAGAACUCGGGUGAAGGAACUAGGCAAAAUGGUGCCGUAACUUCGGGAGAAGGCACGCUGGUGUGUAGGUGAAGUCCCUGCGGAUGGAGCUGAGACCAGUCGAAGAUACCAGCUGGCUGCAACUGUUUAUUAAAAACACAGCACUGUGCAAACACGAAAGUGGACGUAUACGGUGUGACGCCUGCCCGGUGCCGGAAGGUUAAUUGAUGGGGUUAUCCGUAAGGAGAAGCUCUUGAUCGAAGCCCCGGUAAACGGCGGCCGUAACUAUAACGGUCCUAAGGUAGCGAAAUUCCUUGUCGGGUAAGUUCCGACCUGCACGAAUGGCGUAAUGAUGGCCAGGCUGUCUCCACCCGAGACUCAGUGAAAUUGAACUCGCUGUGAAGAUGCAGUGUACCCGCGGCAAGACGGAAAGACCCCGUGAACCUUUACUAUAGCUUGACACUGAACAUUGAGCCUUGAUGUGUAGGAUAGGUGGGAGGCUUUGAAGCGUGGACGCCAGUCUGCGUGGAGCCAACCUUGAAAUACCACCCUUUAAUGUUUGAUGUUCUAACGUUGGCCCCUUACCGGGGUUGCGGACAGUGUCUGGUGGGUAGUUUGACUGGGGCGGUCUCCUCCCAAAGCGUAACGGAGGAGCACGAAGGUUAGCUAAUCCCUGGUCGGACAUCAGGAGGUUAGUGCAAUGGCAUAAGCUAGCUUGACUGCGAGCGUGACGGCGCGAGCAGGUGCGAAAGCAGGUCAUAGUGAUCCGGUGGUUCUGAAUGGAAGGGCCAUCGCUCAACGGAUAAAAGGUACCCGGGGAUAACAGGCUGAUACCGCCCAAGAGUUCAUAUCGACGGCGGUGUUUGGCACCUCGAUGUCGGCUCAUCACAUCCUGGGGCUGAAGUAGGUCCCAAGGGUAUGGCUGUUCGCCAUUUAAAGUGGUACGCGAGCUGGGUUUAGAACGUCGUGAGACAGUUCGGUCCCUAUCUGCCGUGGGCGCUGGAGAAUUGAGGGGUGCUGCUCCUAGUACGAGAGGACCGGAGUGGACGCAUCACUGGUGUUCGGGUUGUCAUGCCAAUGGCACUGCCCGGUAGCUAAAUGCGGAAGAGAUAAGUGCUGAAAGCAUCUAAGCACGAAACUUGCCCCGAGAUGAGUUCUCCCUGAGACUAUAAGUCUCCUGAAGGAACGUUAAAGACGAUGACGUUGAUAGGCCGGGUGUGUAAGCGCAGCGAUGCGUUGAGCUAACCGGUACUAAUGAACCGUGAGGCUUAACCUUACAACGCCGAAG